GCAGGCGGUCUGUCAAGUCGGAUGUGAAAUCCCCGGGCUCAACCUGGGAACUGCAUUCGAAACUGGCAGGCUAGAGUCUUGUAGAGGGGGGUAGAAUUCCAGGUGUAGCGGUGAAAUGCGUAGAGAUCUGGAGGAAUACCGGUGGCGAAGGCGGCCCCCUGGACAAAGACUGACGCUCAGGUGCGAAAGCGUGGGGAGCAAACAGGAUUAGAUACCCUGGUAGUCCACGCCGUAAACGAUGUCGAUUUGGAGGUUGUGCCCUUGAGGCGUGGCUUCCGGAGCUAACGCGUUAAAUCGACCGCCUGGGGAGUACGGCCGCAAGGUUAAAACUCAAAUGAAUUGACGGGGGCCCGCACAAGCGGUGGAGCAUGUGGUUUAAUUCGAUGCAACGCGAAGAACCUUACCUG
RNAcentral lists this ribosomal RNA (407 nucleotides) under Klebsiella pneumoniae. RNAcentral describes it as "bacterial SSU rRNA". It matches the Rfam family "Bacterial small subunit ribosomal RNA", at positions 571 to 977 of the family's 1533-position model. RNAcentral also lists the same sequence under 2 other names. The record is from RNAcentral. Lineage: Bacteria; Pseudomonadati; Pseudomonadota; Gammaproteobacteria; Enterobacterales; Enterobacteriaceae.